CUCUGGUUCAGGCAGCUGCUAUAUAACAGUCUCUGGGGGACAGUCCCUCCCUUUUUCCUGCGGAGAGUCGGAGAUGGUGGCUCAACUAGUGGGAACUAUGGAGAUAAACUUCAUGGUGAUAUCCUGGAAGUUGUGCAGAAUAAUUAAGCCCUUCAUGAAAACAUCAACAGUUCUAGAAGACUAUAUGAUGUACAGUUGUGGAUGUUCCUGAAUAUUUAAGGCAGAAUGUGACUUAUUAGCAAGUAUCCAGUGGAUAAUGACUCAAUGAAUGAAUAACUGACAGCGCAGUUGGGAUAUAAAACUACUUGCAACUCUAGUACUACUAAAACAGAGAUCUCUGAAGGCUGACUCAAUAUUAAAGUGAAAUGGUGGAAAAUGUAGGAGCAGAUGCAUUUAGUUAUUCAGUGAUGAGGUGGAAUUUUUGUAUCACUGGAAGAAGUCUGACACCUGAAGAUACCCAGAUACCAAGAUUUUAACAACAAAAAAUGUUACCAGGUUUAUGCUUCUGAAAUAGUUUGUGGGAUUGUUUGGUUGUUAAUAUUUCUGAAACUUCACAUGGCACAGAACCAGUCGGUCUCUGCUUCUCUUAAAACAGUGAGAAAUCAUGUUUUGUGGAAAUCUAAAGAUCUUUCCAAAUUUUUAGACCCAGCUCCCUCUAGUGAAACCAAAGCUGUCUUAUAAUAGGGAAACUGCAUGUGGGAUCAAAGAAGAGAAAAUUCAGUUUUGCUAGAAUCAGUCAGAUUUAACAUCUUCUGUUUUCUGACAUGACUUAUCAGGAGAUUAUGGUGGCUGAAGGGAAAUAGAGCAUACUUUAAAAGUGUAGCAUAAAAUCUAUUUUUUCCCACUGUUUAUCAGGAGAGGCUCCCCUACUCAGUAAAGAAAAUAUUAAGGGCAACAAACAAGCUUGGGGGAUGGGGGUUGGGAAAAAACUCCCAGUGGCUAGCCAGUUUCCUCUGAAGGAGAUAAAAGCACAACAAAGAAAUAAAGCACACUUUGAUAUUACUAGGGAAAUGUGUAUGCCCUGAACAGUAAUAAAAUGGGCAAGGGAAAACCCAGGCACCCUGUGUAGAAAGAUGGCGAGAGUACCAAUUAAUGUAGAAAAUCAUAGUAAUGAGGCUUCCCCCUUUUGAGUGCAAUUUCAUUCAGGAAGUGAAAGAGGAAUGUCAGGUAGUGGUAUUAAUCAAUGAAGGCAUUGAGGAAGCAAAAUAUCCGACAUUUGUAAGAAAGCAAAAUUCACCAGUCAUCGUAGGAGUUGUGGUCACAAGAGAAAACUAGACUUAAACCACAGCCUGGGUUCUGUUUAUGCUGAUGAGGAAAGAAGUUGGUUUUUAUGCACCGCUGCCCAACCGCAUGAUAAGACCAAUGCAUUGGUGUGGAACUUUUUUUUUUUUUUCUCUCUUGAGCAGAAAGCAUUGCUACCCUCUGUUUUGUGUGGAAGAGAGGCACACCUGGCAACUUCUGCUUUAAGAAACCUCUUGAAAAAUAACCAUGCCAUAAUGUGGGAGAAACAUCUCUGCUGCAUUCAACAACUAAGCCUUAAUGCAGUAGGGAAAGAGAUGGAGGAGACAGAUCAUAACAUCUGAUAAAGUAGGGUCCACAAAUACUCCAGUCAGUGGCAUAACAUCCAGUAUGCCUUUUAGUGUUAGGAAGGGAAGCACAAUGAAAAAAGAUACACAGGCAAACUACCCAGCGCCUGACACAACCUACACUUAAAGACACAUCAAACUAUAAGGAAAAACCAUCCUACAAUCCCCAUGCUUAAUACAAAACUGCCACUAAUGCUAGUAGUGGAUCUGCAGCCCUUUUCAUUUGGCAAGGCACUAAGGGAAUAUACCAUUCCCAAGUGGCAAAUACCUAGCAAAACCUACUUUUUUGGCUAAGGCAAUACCAUAGUUGUACAAAACUCAUAUUGCAGUGUCCAAGGCAUUGAGGAUGUCAACGGUGAGGAAGAUCCAUCUGACCACUGAAAUGUGGACUAGUGGUCAGACCAUGGACUGUGUGUCAGCUCAUUGGGUAGCUCUUCCUGUUCAGUUACCUA
Long non-coding RNA from Trachemys scripta elegans, 2038 nucleotides. RefSeq lists it as uncharacterized. The transcript is spliced from 7 exons. The record is from RefSeq and is a predicted model, not a curated record. NCBI's taxonomy places the organism in Eukaryota, Metazoa, Chordata, Testudines, Emydidae.